ACGAACGCUGGCGGCGUGCCUAAUACAUGCAAGUAGAACGCUGAAGGAGGAGCUUGCUUCUCUGGAUGAGUUGCGAACGGGUGAGUAACGCGUAGGUAACCUGCCUGGUAGCGGGGGAUAACUAUUGGAAACGAUAGCUAAUACCGCAUAAGAGUAGAUGUUGCAUGACAUUUACUUAAAAGGUGCAAUUGCAUCACUACCAGAUGGACCUGCGUUGUAUUAGCUAGUUGGUGAGGUAACGGCUCACCAAGGCAACGAUACAUAGCCGACCUGAGAGGGUGAUCGGCCACACUGGGACUGAGACACGGCCCAGACUCCUACGGGAGGCAGCAGUAGGGAAUCUUCGGCAAUGGACGGAAGUCUGACCGAGCAACGCCGCGUGAGUGAAGAAGGUUUUCGGAUCGUAAAGCUCUGUUGUAAGAGAAGAACGAGUGUGAGAGUGGAAAGUUCACACUGUGACGGUAUCUUACCAGAAAGGGACGGCUAACUAUGUG
Molecule: ribosomal RNA, 494 nt
Filed under: uncultured bacterium
Lineage: Bacteria
Description: partial 16S ribosomal RNA
Rfam family: Bacterial small subunit ribosomal RNA
Source: RNAcentral